CCUACGGGUGGCUGCAGUGGGGAAUAUUGCACAAUGAGCGAAAGCCUGACGCAGCGACACAGCGUGAAGGAUGAAGGUCUUCGGAUCGUAAACCUCUGUCAGCAGGGAAGAACGGUCGCUGUGCUAAUCGGCCGUGAAUUGACGGUACCUGCACAGGAAGCACCGGCUAACUCCGUGCCAGCAGCCGCGGUAAUACGGAGGGUGCGAGCGUUAAUCGGAAUUACUGGGCGUAAAGCGCUCGUAGGCGGUAUGUCAAGUCAAGGGUGAAAUCCCCGCGCUCAACGUGGGAACUGCCUUUGAAACUGGCAAACUGGAGUGUGUGAGAGGAUAGUGGAAUUCCAGGUGUAGGAGUGAAAUCCGUAGAUAUCUGGAGGAACAUCAGGGGCGAAGGCGACUAGCUGGAACAUAACUGACGCUGAGGAGCGAAAGCGUGGGUAGCAAACAGGAUUAGAUACCCCAGUAGUC
This 465-nucleotide ribosomal RNA is filed under the name uncultured bacterium. Its description in RNAcentral is "partial 16S ribosomal RNA". It matches the Rfam family "Bacterial small subunit ribosomal RNA", at positions 338 to 795 of the family's 1533-position model. The record is from RNAcentral.